This 1968-nucleotide ribosomal RNA is filed under the name Rhodocybe pruinosostipitata. RNAcentral's name for it is "partial 12S ribosomal RNA". The stretch from base 1356 to 1968 matches the Rfam family "Bacterial small subunit ribosomal RNA", at positions 1 to 913 of the family's 1533-position model. The record is from RNAcentral. Lineage: Eukaryota; Fungi; Basidiomycota; Agaricomycetes; Agaricales; Entolomataceae.
UGUUGAUAUGAUAACGUAAGGGAAAAAUUUGAUAUUACCUUACUAUUAGUGUUGUCCAAAGCUGUGAGAUGUGUUAGGACCACAUCGUUAAUGGCUGUUAAACUAUCAAACUCCGGAAACGCCCUAAAGGUCAUAGUACCAAGCUAUUGUCGAAAGGCAAUAAGUGGCUGAAGUCAUUACUCAGGUAUGGUAAUAAGCUAUGAUAUGAAUGAAAAUGAAAUGGGUUAUCGCGGAUCUAAGUCAUCUUUAUUUAAAUAUAACAGCCAACCAAUAAUUAAUAAAGGUGUAAAAGAGCAACGAGUAGACGGUAGUUAUUGCAUUAAGGAAAAAUCCAAACUAAUGCAAUUAAGGUGUACUCUAACGGGUUUCGAAAGAAACUAUCAAGUCAAAGUCCUUUCUAACCAAAAUUUUAAUAAAAAAUUUUAUUCUAGCCACAAAGUGGAAAGCGGAAUAACAUUGAAUCCAAAUUUUGUAACUGGAUUUUCUGAUGCUGAGGGGUCUUUUUAUAUCACUAUUUAUCCUUCUGAAAGAGUCAGUACUAAAAUAAGAGUAAUGGCUAGAUUUAAACUAGGAUUAAAUGUUAAAGAUCUUCCAUUAUUAAAACAAAUACAAGAGUUCUUUGGAGGUAUAGGAACAUUAACUUUUGAUAAAGAAAGCAAUGCUUGGAUUUAUUCAGUAAGUAGUGUUACAGAAUUGCUAAAUGUUAUAAUACCUCACUUUAAUAAAUAUUCAUUGUUGACGCAAAAAGCGGCUGAUUUUAAUUUAUUUGUGCAAGUAAUACAACUAAUGAAUGAGGGAGUACAUCUUAAUUUAAUUGGCUUACAAGAGAUAGUUAAUAUUAAAGCUUCUAUGAAUAAAGGUAAUAACGAUUUUAUUAGAUCUAAGUUUUCUCAAACAAUUCCAGUGAAAAGAGAUAUUAUUGAAACUAUAAAAAUACCAGAUCCACACUGGAUUUCGGGUUUUGUAAGUGGAGAAGGUAAUUUCGAUGCUGGAAUAAGAAAAGCAACUAGUACUAGAAAUGAAAGAGUGUAUUUAAGAUUUAGAUUAACUCAAUAUAUUAGAGAUCUUCUAUUAUUGAAUUUAAUAAUUGAAUAUUUAGGAGCUGGUAGAAUUGAAUGUGAUAACAGAAAAUAUCACUCUGUUGCAAGUAUAGUAGUAGGAAACUUUACAGAUAUAAACGAAAAAAUUAUUCCUUUCUUCGAACAAUAUCCUGUUUUAGGUAUUAAGAAUUUAAAUUAUAAAGAUUGAGCAAGAAUUGCUAGUUUGAUGUUCUUAGGNNNNNNNAAAGCAUAAAACACAAGAAGGAUUAGAAGAAAUCAAACUAAUAGAGGCUGGAAUGAAUAAAGGUAGAUAAAAUAUUAAAAAUUUGUAUGAUAAAUUUGAUUAACCGUGGGUGCCAGAAGACUCGGUAAGGCCAGAUACGCAAACGUUAAUCGUCCUAAUCAGGCGUAAAGGGUAUGUAGGCUGCUUUGAAAAUUUUAACUAUAAAAGCUCUAGCUAUAUCCUAGCUAUACUUAAAGCUAUAGUUGGGAUAUAAUAACUUAUGUCUUAGGCCUAGUUGCUUAAGCAAUAGCUGUACUCUCCUUAUAAUAUAUGAAGAUUACACCCUAAAGCUGUAGCUACAGUGCCAUAGUCCUCCCUUCCCUGUAUGAGAAUGGGAGGGUUUUUAUAAAAAUAAUAAAAUUAUUAAAAGCUAGAAUCAUAAGGAGGAUAAACCAAAUAAUACUUAGAGUAGGGUUGAUAUCUGCAGAUACUAAGGGGAAUACUAACGGUGAAAGCUUUUUAUCUAAUAAUGAUUGACGCUGAGAAACGAAGGUGAGAAUAGGAAAUAGGAUUAGAUACCCAGAUACCUCUCACUGUCAACGAUGAAUGGUAGUUGUUAGUCAUAUUAAAACUGAUAACGAUGUUAACACGAUAACCAUUCCGCCUUGCGAGUACGGUUGCAAAACUGAAACCAAAAAAAUUAGU